Molecule: non-coding RNA, 177 nt
Filed under: Chloroflexota bacterium
Lineage: Bacteria; Bacillati; Chloroflexota
Also listed under: 1 other name
Description: Chloroflexi bacterium (marine metagenome) 6S RNA
Rfam family: 6S / SsrS RNA
About the family: E. coli 6S RNA was the first non coding RNA to be sequenced, but its function was unknown until recently. It consists of 184 nucleotides that fold into an extended hairpin structure with a large single-stranded internal bulge. The 6S RNA specifically associates with RNA polymerase holoenzyme containing the sigma70 specificity factor.
Source: RNAcentral
UGUGCCCUGCUGUGUUCGUGAUGCAGCACAUGCGUUUUGAGCCAACACUUACUUUUUUCUGGCCUGAUAUUACGUUAGUGACGCGAUAGGCUUCGGCCAAGGUGGAUCUACCGAUGAAGGCCAAUACCUGCGAAAGCAGGUUCAAAACUUAGUUGCACACGGCAUGGUGGGGUUUCU